UUCCGGUUGAUCCUGCCGGAAGCCAUUGCUAUCGGGAUCCGAUUUAGCCAUGCUAGUUGCACGAGUUUAGACUCGUAGCGGAAAGCUCAGUAACACGUGGUCAAACUACCCUGUGGACCAGAAUAACCUCGGGAAACUGAGGAUAAUGCUGGAUAGCGUUCUCACGCUGGAAUGCGGAGAACCACAAAGGCAUCCGCGCCACAGGAUGUGACUGCGGCCGAUUAGGUAGACGGUGGGGUAACGGCCCACCGUGCCGAUAAUCGGUACGGGUUGUGGGAGCAAGAACCCGGAGACGGAAUCUGAGACGAGAUUCCGGGCCCUACGGGGCGCAGCAGGCGCGAAACCUUUACACUGCGCGAAAGCGCGAUAAGGGGAUCCCGAGUGCGAGGGCGUAUAGUCCUCGCUUUUCUGUACCGUAAGGAGGUACAGGAAUAAGAGCUGGGCAAGACCGGUGCCAGCCGCCGCGGUAAUACCGGCAGCUCAAGUGAUGGUCGAUAUUAUUGGGCCUAAAGCGUCCGUAGCCGGCCAGACAGGUCCGUCGGGAAAUCUGCUCGCCUAACGAGCAGGCGUCCGGCGGAAACCGUCUGGCUUGGGACCGGAAGACCCGAGGGGUACGUCCGGGGUAGGAGUGAAAUCCCGUAAUCCUGGACGGACCAUCGGUGGCGAAAGCGCCUCGGGAAGACGGAUCCGACGGUCAGGGACGAAAGCUAGGGUCUCGAACCGGAUUAGAUACCCGGGUAGUCCUAGCUGUAAACGAUGCUCGCUAGGUGUGCCGCAGGCUACGAGCCUGCGCUGUGCCGUAGGGAAGCCGUGAGGCGAGCCGCCUGGGAAGUACGUCUGCAAGGAUGAAACUUAAAGGAAUUGGCGGGGGAGCACUACAACCGGAGGAGCCUGCGGUUUAAUUGGAUUCAACGCCGGA
RNAcentral lists this ribosomal RNA (919 nucleotides) under uncultured archaeon. RNAcentral's name for it is "bacterial SSU rRNA". It matches the Rfam family "Archaeal small subunit ribosomal RNA", at positions 1 to 922 of the family's 1478-position model. The record is from RNAcentral.